AGGUGCGCGCUACCUGCAGUCGAGCGGCAGCGGAAGUAGCUUGCUACUUUGCCGGCGAGCGGCGGACGGGUGAGUAAUGUCUGGGAAACUGCCUGAUGGAGGGGGAUAACUACUGGAAACGGUAGCUAAUACCGCAUAACGUCGCAAGACCAAAGAGGGGGACCUUCGGGCCUCUUGCCAUCAGAUGUGCCCAGAUGGGAUUAGCUAGUAGGUGGGGUAACGGCUCACCUAGGCGACGAUCCCUAGCUGGUCUGAGAGGAUGACCAGCCACACUGGAACUGAGACACGGUCCAGACUCCUACGGGAGGCAGCAGUGGGGAAUAUUGCACAGUGGGCGCAAGCCUGAUGCAGCCAUGCCGCGUGUAUGAAGAAGGCCUUCGGGUUGUAAAGUACUUUCAGCGGGGAGGAAGGCGAUAAGGUUAAUAACCUUGUCGAUUGACGUUACCCGCAGAAGAAGCACCGGCUAACUCCGUGCCAGCAGCCGCGGUAAUACGGAGGGUGCAAGCGUUAAUCGGAAUUACUGGGCGUAAAGCGCACGCAGGCGGUCUGUCAAGUCAGAUGUGAAAUCCCCGGGCUCAACCUGGGAACUGCAUUCGAAACUGGCAGGCUAGAGUCUUGUAGAGGGGGGUAGAAUUCCAGGUGUAGCGGUGAAAUGCGUAGAGAUCUGGAGGAAUACCGGUGGCGAAUGCGCCCCCUGGACAAAGACUGACACUCAUGUGCGAAAGCGUGGAGAGCAACAGGAUAUAUACCCUGGUAUCCACGCCGUAACGAUGUCACGUGGAGGUGUGCCUUGAGGGUGUUUCCGAGCUAAGCGUUAGUCAACCGCUGGGGAUACGCCGCAGGAUAAACUCAAUGAUUGACGGGGCCCGCACAGCGGGGAGAGGUGUUUAUUCAUCCGCCGGAAACCUACUACUCUGCCUCGGAGACUUUCAGAG
RNAcentral lists this ribosomal RNA (935 nucleotides) under bacterium. RNAcentral describes it as "bacterial SSU rRNA". It matches the Rfam family "Bacterial small subunit ribosomal RNA", at positions 40 to 996 of the family's 1533-position model. The record is from RNAcentral.